UAAUCGCGGAUCAGCAUGCCGCGGUGAAUACGUUCCCGGGCCUUGUACACACCGCCCGUCACACCAUGAGAGUCGGGAACACCCGAAGUCCGUAGCCUAACCGCAAGGAGGGCGCGGCCGAAGGUGGGUUCGAUAAUUGGGGUGAAGUCGUAACAAGGUAGC
This 162-nucleotide ribosomal RNA is filed under the name uncultured bacterium. RNAcentral's name for it is "partial 16S ribosomal RNA". It matches the Rfam family "Bacterial small subunit ribosomal RNA", at positions 1339 to 1500 of the family's 1533-position model. The record is from RNAcentral.